UACGUAGGGUGCGAGCGUUAAUCGGAAUUACUGGGCGUAAAGCGUGCGCAGGCGGUUUUGUAAGACAGAGGUGAAAUCCCCGGGCUCAACCUGGGAACUGCCUUUGUGACUGCAAAGCUGGAGUGCGGCAGAGGGGGAUGGAAUUCCGCGUGUAGCAGUGAAAUGCGUAGAUAUGCGGAGGAACACCGAUGGCGAAGGCAAUCCCCUGGGCCUGCACUGACGCUCAUGCACGAAAGCGUGGGGAGCAAACAGGAUUAGAUACCCUGGUAGUCCACGCCCUAAACGAUGUCAACUGGUUGUUGGGUCUUAACUGACUCAGUAACGAAGCUAACGCGUGAAGUUGACCGCCUGGGGAGUACGGCCGCAAGGUUGAA
This 374-nucleotide ribosomal RNA is filed under the name uncultured bacterium. RNAcentral describes it as "bacterial SSU rRNA". It matches the Rfam family "Bacterial small subunit ribosomal RNA", at positions 524 to 898 of the family's 1533-position model. The record is from RNAcentral.